The sequence is a transfer RNA, 88 nucleotides long. It matches the Rfam family "tRNA". Rfam says of the family: Transfer RNA (tRNA) molecules are approximately 80 nucleotides in length. Their secondary structure includes four short double-helical elements and three loops (D, anti-codon, and T loops). The record is from Rfam.
GGGCACUUGGCACAGUGGUAGCGCGCACGCUUCGCACGACAAUUACGUAAUUUGCGUGAGGUCCAGGGUUCAAUCCCCUGAGUGUCCA